This is a long non-coding RNA of Bufo bufo (common toad), 346 nucleotides long. RefSeq lists it as uncharacterized. Lineage: Eukaryota; Metazoa; Chordata; Amphibia; Anura; Bufonidae. The record is from RefSeq and is a predicted model, not a curated record. The transcript is spliced from 3 exons.
UGGGGGAAAAAACGGGUGGGCAAUACUCGCCUCCGUGUCUUUAAUAAAAUCAUGACUUUACGUUAUAAAAUAGGAAAAUCAUGCAAUUUUAUAACAAGACACGGAGGCUCGUAUUGUGCAAGUUUAAAGCGACAAAAUCACAGAAGAAAAAGCAUGCGGAGGCGGCCUGAAAUAAAACUCCCUAAACGUCGAAGCUCUAGACCAAUCUGCUAACCGUAGAACAUCCUCCAGGCGGGCUCCUGCAACGGUCAUGGAAGUAGCCGAAGCUCCCCUAACCGAAUGAGCCGUGAACACCGACGUAUCAACACCGGCCAAAGAUAGAAUCCACUUCACCCAACGGGAUAAA